Molecule: ribosomal RNA, 467 nt
Filed under: uncultured bacterium
Lineage: Bacteria
Description: bacterial SSU rRNA
Rfam family: Bacterial small subunit ribosomal RNA
Source: RNAcentral
ACGAACGCUGGCGGCGUGCUUAACACAUGCAAGUCGAACGAGAUCCAACUGGUGGCAACACCAGGGAAGAUCUAGUGGCGAACGGGUGCGUAACACGUGAGAAACCCACCCCGAACUUCGGGAUAACAAGUGGAAACACUUGCUAAUACCGGAUGCCUUCUUCGAGUCGCAUGGCUCGACGAAGAAAGGUCCGCCGGUUCGGGACGGUCUCGCGGCCUAUCAGCUUGUUGGUGGGGUAAUGGCCUACCAAGGCAUCGACGGGUAGCUGGUCUGAGAGGAUGAUCCGCCACACUGGGACUGAGACACGGCCCAGACUCCUACGGGAGGCAGCAGUGGGGAAUCUUGCCCAAUGGGCGCAAGCCUGAGGCAGCAACGCCGCGUGCGGGAAGAAGGCCUUCGGGUUGUAAACCGCUUUCAGCAGGAAUGAAAAUGACGGUACCUGCAGAAGAAGGUGCGGCCACCUACGU